Molecule: long non-coding RNA, 443 nt
Filed under: Rattus norvegicus (Norway rat)
Lineage: Eukaryota; Metazoa; Chordata; Mammalia; Rodentia; Muridae
Description: long non-coding RNA NONRATT032932
Source: RNAcentral
CUCAGAGUCUCAUCUACGUGGGUUAUUUUUGUUUCUGUAGACACCUGAUGUGGUCAGAGCUGAGAAUGUCCGUGGGCACACAGCACGUGGACAUCACAGCAGGGUGAAAACUAAUUGGGUUGACUGAAGACUGCAGAACCCACCAUCAUCAUCACCACCUGUGUCCAGGAUGCCACACAUCUCCAUAGAUAAGUGCUCCUCUGGCACAGUAUUUCUCAUUCACUGGUCAUGUGUUGCGACCUCCAACCUCCCUGCAUUCAUGAGACCUUACCAGAGGCAGUGUGGAACAAUGACUGAAAACUUGGCUUUGAGACGAAACUUAAUGCAUUGGAUAUGACCUCCCUACUAUGAGGCAUGGAGUAAGUCAGUUAACCACUUUGAAUUCCAGUAUCCUCCCUGACUAUGACUGUAUACUACAGCCUUUGUAGAACCCAAAUAGCCAU